UACGUAGGUGGCAAGCGUUAUCCGGAAUUAUUGGGCGUAAAGAGCGCGCAGGUGGUUAAUUAAGUCUGAUGUGAAAGCCCACGGCUUAACCGUGGAGGGUCAUUGGAAACUGGUUGACUUGAGUGCAGUAGAGGAAAGUGGAAUUCCUAGUGUAGCGGUGGAAUGCGUAGAUAUUAGGAGGAACAUCAGUGGCGAAGGCGACUUUCUGGACUGUAACUGACGCUGAGGCACGAAAGUGUGGGGAGCAAACAGG
This 253-nucleotide ribosomal RNA is filed under the name uncultured Bacilli bacterium. RNAcentral describes it as "partial 16S ribosomal RNA". It matches the Rfam family "Bacterial small subunit ribosomal RNA", at positions 524 to 776 of the family's 1533-position model. The record is from RNAcentral. Lineage: Bacteria; Bacillati; Bacillota; Bacilli.